RNAcentral lists this ribosomal RNA (853 nucleotides) under Schizostella bifurcata. RNAcentral's name for it is "eukaryotic LSU rRNA". It matches the Rfam family "Eukaryotic large subunit ribosomal RNA", at positions 1505 to 2240 of the family's 3401-position model. The record is from RNAcentral. Lineage: Eukaryota; Metazoa; Echinodermata; Ophiuroidea; Euryalida; Gorgonocephalidae.
GGUUCCAUGUGAACAGCCGUUGCACAUGGGUCAGUCGAUCCUAAGGUCUAGGGUAGUUCCGCUCCGAGCGGCGGCGCGCGCCCACCUCCACGGGUGGGCAAGCGCUCCCUGGCCGAAAGGGAAUCGGGUCAAUAUUCCCGAACCUGAAGGUGGAGCCCGCCGCCAGCUGGCGGUCAGAGCUGCAAAGCUAAUCGAGCCCGGAGACGCUGACCGGAGCCCCGGGAAGAGUUGUCUUUUCUUUGUAAGGGGCGCGGCUCCCUGAAACCGGCUGGAUCGGAGAGAGGGACCGCGGCCCCGUAGAGCGCCGCGUCUGGAGCGGCGUCCGGAGUUGCACCGGUCGGCCCUUGAAAAUCCGGGGGACGAGCGUGGACUCUCACCUCAGAUCGUACCCAUAACCGCAGCAGGUCUCCAAGGUGAACAGCCUCUGGUCAAUGGAACAAUGUAGGUAAGGGAAGUCGGCAAGCCGGAUCCGUAACUUCGGGAUAAGGAUUGGCUCUGAGGACUGGGUCGGUCGGGCCGGGGCUGGAAGCAGGCACGGACCCUCAGCGUGACUGGGCGAGCCGGUCCGAGGCCCGCAAACCUCCUCCUUCAUCGGGGGGGAGCGGUGCGCGGCGCCGAAAGGCUGGCGAACCCGGACUUUGCAUUGGGUCCGGCUCGUGGACCGUCCUGGCUGCGCGGCGGCCUCGCGCCGUCGCCUCGGCCGGCGCCAAACAGCCGGCUCAGAACUGGCACGGACCAGGGGAAUCCGACUGUCUAAUUAAAACAGAGCAUUGCGAUGUCCGCAACCCGGGCGUUGACGCAAUGUGAUUUCUGCCCAGUGCUCUGAAUGUCAAAGUGAAGAAAUUCAACGAAG